CAAAGAAANUNGACGGGGGCCNGCNCAAGCGNCGGAGCAUGCGGANUAAUUCGNNGCAACGCGAAGAACCUUACCAAGGCUUGACAUAUACUGGACUGCGUCAGAGAUGGCGUUUCCCUUCGGGGCUGGUAUNCAGGUGGUGCAUGGUUGUCGUCAGCUCGNGUNNNNNGAUGUUGGGUUAAGUCCCGCAACGAGCGCAACCCUCGUUCUAUGUUGCCAGCACGUGAUGNNGGGGACUCAUAGGAGACUGCCGGGGUCAACUCGGAGGAAGGUGGGGAUGACGUCAAAUCAUCAUGCCCCUUAUGUCUUGGGCUUCACGCAUGCUACAAUGGCCGGUACAGAGGGUUGCGAUACUGUGAGGUGGAGCUAAUCCCUAAAAGCCGGUCUCAGUUCAGAUUGGGGUCUGCAACUCGACCCCAUGAAGUCGGAGUCGCUAGUAAUCGCAGAUCAGCAACGCUGCGGUGAAUACGUUCCCGGGCCUUGUACACACCGCCCGUCAAGUCACGAAAGUUGGUAACACCCGAAGCCGGUGGCCUAACCC
RNAcentral lists this ribosomal RNA (541 nucleotides) under uncultured bacterium. RNAcentral's name for it is "partial 16S ribosomal RNA". It matches the Rfam family "Bacterial small subunit ribosomal RNA", at positions 902 to 1441 of the family's 1533-position model. The record is from RNAcentral.